RNAcentral lists this small nuclear RNA (191 nucleotides) under Leptosomus discolor (cuckoo roller). RNAcentral's name for it is "U2 spliceosomal RNA". It matches the Rfam family "U2 spliceosomal RNA". From Rfam's summary of the family: U2 is a small nuclear RNA (snRNA) component of the spliceosome (involved in pre-mRNA splicing). Complementary binding between U2 snRNA (in an area lying towards the 5' end but 3' to hairpin I) and the branchpoint sequence (BPS) of the intron results the bulging out of an unpaired adenosine, on the BPS, which initiates a nucleophilic attack at the intronic 5' splice site, thus starting the first of two transesterification reactions that mediate splicing. Lineage: Eukaryota; Metazoa; Chordata; Aves; Leptosomiformes; Leptosomidae. The record is from Rfam by way of RNAcentral.
AUCUCUUCUUGGCCUUCUAGUUAAGAUCAAGUGUACCAUCUGUUCUUAUCAGUUUAAUAUCUGAUACAUCCUCGAUGAGAGGACUUUAUACUCAAUGGAUUUUUGGGCAUUGAAGUUGGACUCGAAGCUUGAUCCCUCUGCUUCACAAAUCAUCCCAGUAUUGCAGUUCCUCUGGGAACGAUGGAUCAACU